This 560-nucleotide ribosomal RNA is filed under the name uncultured eukaryote. RNAcentral describes it as "bacterial SSU rRNA". It matches the Rfam family "Eukaryotic small subunit ribosomal RNA", at positions 37 to 548 of the family's 1831-position model. The record is from RNAcentral.
UCAAAGAUUUAGCCAUGCAAGUCUAAGCAUGCACGGCAUGUUCAGUGAAAGUGCGAAUGGGUCAUUAAAUCAGUUACCGUUCGUGUGGUCGCUCGCUCCUUUCUUAAUUGGAUAUACGUGGUAAUUUUAGAACUAAUUCAUGCGGGCGCGCGCUGCCCCCCUUCGCGGGGGGAACGAGUUCACUUAUCAGAUCAAAACCGAUCCGGUCAGCCCCUCUCUGCCCCCGUCCGGGGCGCGGGAGCCGUCUGUUUUGCCGACUAUAGAUAACAUCGGACCGAUCGCACGCCCCCCUUGGCGGCGAGGACCCAUUCGAAUGUCUGCCUUAUCAACAUUCGACGGUAGUCGCGGUGCGCCCCAUGGUCACCUCGGGUGACGGGGAAUCACGGUUCGAUUCUGGAGAGGGAGCCUGAGAAAAGGUUUCCACAUCCAAGGAAGGCAGCAGGCGCGCGAAUUAUCCACUCCCGACCCGGGGAGGUAGUGAGGCAAAAUCACAAUACCGGACUCUUCAGAGGCCCUGUAAUCGGAAUGAGUCCACUUUAAAUCACUAACCGAGGAUCCAU